UACGAGGGGGCGAGCGUUGUUCGGAAUUAUUGGGCGUAAAGGGGUGCGUAGGCGGUUUGGGUAAGUUCUGAUGUGAAAUCUAUGGGGCUACAACCUCAUAGUCUGCAUCGGAAACUGCCGGGCUUGAGUGUGGGAGAGGUGAGUGGAAUUCCGUGGUGUAGCGGUGAAAUGCGUAGAUAUCAGGAGGAACACCUGUGGCGAAAGCGGCUCACUGGACCAUAACUGACGCUGAUGCACGAAAAGCUAGGGGGAGCAAACAGG
Molecule: ribosomal RNA, 261 nt
Filed under: uncultured bacterium
Lineage: Bacteria
Description: partial 16S ribosomal RNA
Rfam family: Bacterial small subunit ribosomal RNA
Source: RNAcentral